Long non-coding RNA from Adelges cooleyi (spruce gall adelgid), 1023 nucleotides. RefSeq lists it as uncharacterized. The record is from RefSeq and is a predicted model, not a curated record. The transcript is spliced from 3 exons. Lineage: Eukaryota; Metazoa; Arthropoda; Insecta; Hemiptera; Adelgidae.
AUCAAGACACGGUCAGACGGUCGUCCCAGUUAGCUCUCUCGACACUUGAGAAAUAUUUCGUCAGUUUUUUUUUUUUUUCACAAGUUUUCAAAAAUAUUUUUACUUUUUUUCCAACUAAAAAAAAAAAAUACUUUCGACUCUACCGCACGAUGAUAAUAAUUCCAACAGCUGCGCUAACGAAGAAAUCAACAAUCUUCAGUAUAUAUUUUACAAAAAAAAAAACCAAAAUAGCUUUGAACCGAAUUCCAAUGGAAAAUCAUAUUGUUAUCAACUGCUUGCGAUCCGGUUAAAUUCAGCCACAGAGAUAAUUGCUGUUACCGAGCCGUCAUCGCCAUCGUCAUCACCACCAACGGUUAUGCGCUUGGAGACGAAAAUCUCCCAAUCGACAAGAACAAGUUAAACACACAUGUUACAUAUGUUUAUGUUAAACAUAUGUAAAUGAAUGAGUAGUCGUUUCAUAUAUCUAUGCCAUACCUAAUCUAAUGGCAUGCAGUUGUGUGGAGUGGUUUUGGAACGUGUUUGUGGAUAAAGAUGGGUGGACAUUAAAAAAAAUAACGACAGACGGAGGGACGAUAACUCAAUGGUUUUGAUAGGCCAACAAGAAAUCCGUUGGAGAACUGCGAAUAGUUAUUUAAAAAAAAUAUAUCUGUCGUUUUAAUAGUAACAAAUUAACUCUACUAUUAACUUAGAACUUAAUAUUUACUUUUAAUACAUCUCUACAUAUUCAUAAGUAAAUUAUUGUACUAUACGUGUGUCACGUAUAUAAGCAUUUAAUUUUAUUUAUGAAGUACUCGUAGAAGUCUCUGUUCGUUUACUUGAGCGAUUUGAGUUCUAAGACGGCAGGAUCGCUUUUGAACCGAGCUUUCCAACUAGUUGGGAAUUUCGGCUUAGCGGCGAAAAAAAUUUUAGAACAAAUACAAUCGCUCAAGUAGGUUAAAUAAUACAUUAUUAUAUUAUGUUGUAUGUUUACGAAAAUAACAUAUAUCUUGUGCUAUACAGUUUUUUAUUCGUUUUAUUUGGAAA